This 253-nucleotide ribosomal RNA is filed under the name uncultured bacterium. RNAcentral describes it as "partial 16S ribosomal RNA". It matches the Rfam family "Bacterial small subunit ribosomal RNA", at positions 524 to 776 of the family's 1533-position model. The record is from RNAcentral.
UACGUAGGGUGCAAGCGUUAAUCGGAAUUACUGGGCGUAAAGCGUGCGCAGGCGGUGAUGUAAGACAGUUGUGAAAUCCCCGGGCUCAACCUGGGAACUGCAUCUGUGACUGCAUCGCUGGAGUGCGGCAGGGGGGGAUGGAAUUCCGCGUGUAGCAGUGAAAUGCGUAGAUAUGCGGAGGAACACCGAUGGCGAAGGCAAUCCCCUGGGCCUGCACUGACACUGAGGCACGAAAGCGUGGGGAGCAAACAGG